RNAcentral lists this long non-coding RNA (255 nucleotides) under Nicotiana benthamiana. RNAcentral describes it as "long non-coding RNA (NBEN_LNC022307)". The record is from RNAcentral. Lineage: Eukaryota; Viridiplantae; Streptophyta; Magnoliopsida; Solanales; Solanaceae.
UGAUUUUUGAACGUUGAAGAACAAUCGAUUAUUCAGAUUUAACAAUCGAUUGUGUAGCCUAAAAUCAGGGAUCUGUUUUUUGAACGUUGGUCAGACAAUCGAUAGUCACCUCCAAACAAUCGAUUGUUGAAGCACAGAAUCAGGGAUUUUAUUUGUCAUUUAAGCAACGGUCAGCACCACUUUUUCACCUAUAAAAAGAGGUCUUUUGAGCUGAUUUUAAACACACAACUCCUGCAUAUAUUGAUAUACAUAUUG